UGCCAGCCGCCGCGGUAAUACGGAGGGGGUUAGCGUUGUUCGGAAUUACUGGGCGUAAAGCGCACGUAGGCGGAUUAGAAAGUUGGGGGUGAAAUCCCAGGGCUCAACCCUGGAACUGCCUCCAAAACUACUAGUCUUGAGUUCGAGAGAGGUGAGUGGAAUUCCGAGUGUAGAGGUGAAAUGCGCAGAGAUCAGGAGGAACACCAAUGGCGAAAGCAAGUAACUAGACUAUUACUGACACUCAGCUGCGAAAGCUAGGGGAGCAAACAGGAUUAGAUA
Molecule: ribosomal RNA, 279 nt
Filed under: uncultured bacterium
Lineage: Bacteria
Description: partial 16S ribosomal RNA
Rfam family: Bacterial small subunit ribosomal RNA
Source: RNAcentral